This 516-nucleotide long non-coding RNA is filed under the name Monodelphis domestica (gray short-tailed opossum). Its description in RNAcentral is "lncRNA (ENSMODG00000033345.2)". The record is from RNAcentral. Lineage: Eukaryota; Metazoa; Chordata; Mammalia; Didelphimorphia; Didelphidae.
GAAUAUUUGCUGAAAAGAUAUAACCAGAGCCAAAAUGUCGACCUACAGGCUAGACGGGGAGCACCCUCUCUUCUAAACUGCCACAGUCCCUGGGAAAAGAGCAUUCCUACUUCAAGUGGCUGCAUGGAUCUUCUCACCACCAAGCUUACUUCUGGAUUUCGUAGAGCCCCAAGAUCCAGGACUCCUCUCCCAGGCCAUUUAUCCUGUCCUGAAAUGAGAAGUGAUGCACUAAGAAGAGUGAGAGGCUGGAUUUCAGAUGAGAUGACCUGGGGACAAAGUAUAGUUCUACUCCUGACUCCCUGCGUGACUUCAAGAUCCCAGGAUUCAGCAUCAAAGACCUUAGGCACUAAUAUCCUACCUGGAAGAUGGGACUCUUCAGUGCAUUACUGAACUCCUGCUAAGAACACUCACUUAGGAACUGAUGAAACCUUUGGAUAAAUGAAUUGCUUCCUGUUAAUGGUUCUGAUUUUAUAAAAGCAAGAUUUGUAUGUUUGCAGUCCAUUGAUUUGUUUAUUC